AUUCAGACAGCGUAUCUCAGGAGACAGGUAUCACUCUGUUAUUGGAAAUAUUUCGGGGGAUCUCAAGCAUUAUCCAAGAUGAAAGUGUUAGCUCUUCUCUGUUUCCUUGUUGCUGUAACUUGUGUUUUUGGGAGAUGUGUACGUUAUUGCUGUCAGUAUGGACAUGUGGGCCUGCAAGCCAAUUGUGAAAAAUAUUGUAAUUAUUGUGGAGACUUUCCUGGAUUGAGAGUAGCCCAGCAUUAUAGAUUGGCAGUUAAGCGGAGCCUUCCGAGGACCAUUGCAGACAUACUUCGCCAUAAAAAGAAAUUUAAGCACCAUUAGAAAAAUGUUUUGAAAACUUGGAUUUACAAAAUACGACAGGACUUCAAUCUGAAUUGACCCCCAAGCGGCUUGAUUUUAUUUUUAAGAAUUAUAUGUUUUCAGUAAUAAAAAUAUAUUCUAUUGCAUAAUAAUGAAA
Molecule: long non-coding RNA, 457 nt
Organism: Saccostrea echinata
Lineage: Eukaryota; Metazoa; Mollusca; Bivalvia; Ostreida; Ostreidae
Exons: 4
Source: RefSeq, a predicted model, not a curated record